AACACAAAAUGAAAACCUAAUUUUCCAAGUUUCUGUUUUCUUGUAAUUAAUAAAGUUGAUUAAUUUUUUAUCAAAUUCGUGCUUUUAUUGGUGUUUUAAUGGUGAGUUUUGAUCAGUUUGAUUGAUUACUGAAACAAAAGAUUAGCUGGAACACAUGAUUCUUAGGGACGUGAAAUUAAAGGUCUUGCAGGGACUGAGACACUGAGACACCAAAUGAUGAGAAGAAAAUCAUUAGAAACGAUUCAUUUAUUUAGUAUAUGGAUGAUUUCAAUGGAUUUAGAAAUAAAACUGAGGUGCAUUUGAUAAUUGUGGAAUGGGUUAGAGUUCUAUACGCACCAAGAAAUCUGAAUACAUUGUAGUCUCUAUCUCCCCCCUCUUGUGAUUUUUUUUUUUGAUUUCGACAAAGUUUUGAUUUUUAUGAGGAAUACACAUUUGAUUCAUUUUUUGUUAUAGUUUUGAAAUUUGUGUAAUGGGAUUGUUGAUACAGGACAACAAUAUGGCACAUGAUGCAUUAGCAUUAGUUGAUCAUUUAGGUUGGUGAAAAGCUUAUGCCUUUGGUCAUUCCAGUGGUAGUAUUCAGCAUGUAUCCAAGUAAAAGCUUGGUGAAGCAUAGCCUUUUUUCUCUGAUAACGAAUGUGCCAGAGAAGCGAGCUCGCAAUCAUCCUUGUGGUGAUACAUCCAGAUAGAUACAAAGGAUAUCCUGUUUAUAUGUGGUGGAGCCUUUAUUGAUUUGGAAAAGACUAUUUCAGAAAGAUUGCUUCUGAAGGACCCACACACCAAGUGUUUGUGGUUUCAUUGGAUGAUCUUUCAGGCGAUGAGGAUCAAGCGUGUAAGAAGUUCAGACUUAGAGUUGAGGAUGUUCAAAGAAAGAAUGUUCUUACCAAUUUCUGGGCAAGGAAUGGAUUUUACCACAGACAAGUUGAGACGUCUUGAAAGAAAGUGACAGACAUUGAUUAAAACCCAUAUUGAUGUCAAGACAACAUACAACUUCACCUUGAGGUCAUUCUGCAUCAGAUUCACCAAGAAGCGAGACAAACAGGUCAGGAGAACCUGUUAUGCUCAAUCUAGCCAGAUUUGAGAGGUGAAUUCAUGUCUUUCGAUUUCAACAUUUUCUUAUUAUUUCAUGUUAUUCAUGCGUGUAAGAUUUUUUUGUGACCUUAUUGGAAGAAUUCAGAAAUCAUGGUAAACCAGCAUUUUCUUAUUAUUUCACGUUUGUAUCAUCUGUACUUUGUAUUGUCGGACUCGUCGCCAGAUGGUUGAAAACAUGGUAAGCCAGGCCUCUUCAUGUGAUCUUACAGAAUUGGUGGCAAAAUUUAUCCCUGCGAUGAUUGGAAAAGAUAUUGAGAAGGCUACAUCAAGCAUUUACCCAUUGCAGAAUGUGUUCAUUUGGAAGGUGGGUGAUCAUAAGUUUGAUAAAAUUAUAGAUGCAGGUGCUAUGUUAUGCGAUAAGGAAAGAGUACUUGGAGAUGUUGCAAGAGGUGACAUGACUAAGUGGCCAAAAUUUAUGUAAAUCGUGUAGGAGAGCUAACAUAUUAGAGUGGCAAGAUUAGGUGACAUUAUUAGUUGAUAGAAUUCAGUUUUAGUGUUUAAUAUGCAAUUCUAUGUUGAUAGUAAUAUAAUUUAUCUUUCAAUUUGUAUUCAGAGAUUAUAUGUUUUGAAUGUUAUUUUGGUAUUAAUAUGAGGUUAAAUUCAUCUUUA
This is a long non-coding RNA of Papaver somniferum (opium poppy), 1698 nucleotides long. RefSeq lists it as uncharacterized. The record is from RefSeq and is a predicted model, not a curated record. Lineage: Eukaryota; Viridiplantae; Streptophyta; Magnoliopsida; Ranunculales; Papaveraceae. The transcript is spliced from 5 exons.